This 726-nucleotide long non-coding RNA is filed under the name Homo sapiens (human). Its description in RNAcentral is "HSALNT0325675". Lineage: Eukaryota; Metazoa; Chordata; Mammalia; Primates; Hominidae. The record is from RNAcentral.
UGUUUUUGCUUCCUCCUCAUUUUUUCUCUUGCAGCUGCCAUAUAAGAAGUGCCUUUCACCUUCCACCAUGAUUCUGAGGCCUGCCCAGCCGUGUGGAACUUUUUCUCUUGCUGCUGCCAUGUAAGAAAUGCCUUUCAUGUCCCACCAUGAUUCUGAGGCCGCCCCAGCCAAGUGGAACUCAGUGCAAGAAUGAACUAAUACAGGCAAGACCUCACUAUGUUUCCCAGACUGGUUUGGAAUUCCUGCGCUUCAAGCCAUCCUCCUGCCUCAGCCUCUCAAAGUGCUGCUGGGAUUACAGCAGUGAAUCACAGUGCCUGACCCUAAUGGUCUGAGUUUAAGCUGCCAUGUAAGAAGUGCUUUUCAUCUCCCGCCAUGAUUCUGAGGCCUCCCCAGCCAUGUGGAAUUAAGUGGCUUUCACCUCCUGCCAUGAUUCUGAGGCCUCCCCAGCCAUGCGGAACUGUAAGUCCAAUUAAACCUCCUUUUCUUCCCAGUCUCGGUUAUGUCUUUAUCAGCAGCAUUAAAAUGAACUAAUACAGAUGGUAUUUUUUUCUUUUUAAUGGAGUACCUAUGUUAAAACAAACAAGCAAACAAGAAAACCAAAAAAGGAAAAACACUUGACAAAUAGAGCUUAGAUAGGCCAUUAAGGGAAGGGUUCUCAGGCAUAAAUACCUGAUAUCGUAAACCAUAACAAAAGACUUGCAAAUACCACAACCUUGCAAAAAAGGC